UACGAAGGGUGCAAGCGUUACUCGGAAUUACUGGGCGUAAAGCGUGCGUAGGUGGUUUGUUAAGUCUGAUGUGAAAGCCCUGGGCUCAACCUGGGAAUGGCAUUGGAUACUGGCAGGCUAGAGUGCGGUAGAGGGUAGUGGAAUUCCCGGUGUAGCAGUGAAAUGCGUAGAGAUCGGGAGGAACAUCUGUGGCGAAGGCGACUACCUGGACCAGCACUGACACUGAGGCACGAAAGCGUGGGGAGCAAACAGGAUUAGAUACCCUGGUAGUCCACGCCCUAAACGAUGCGAACUGGAUGUUGGGCUCAACUUGGAGCUCAGUAUCGAAGCUAACGCGUUAAGUUCGCCGCCUGGGGAGUACGGUCGCAAGACUG
Molecule: ribosomal RNA, 374 nt
Filed under: uncultured prokaryote
Description: bacterial SSU rRNA
Rfam family: Bacterial small subunit ribosomal RNA
Source: RNAcentral